This 346-nucleotide long non-coding RNA is filed under the name Nicotiana benthamiana. Its description in RNAcentral is "long non-coding RNA (NBEN_LNC037414)". Lineage: Eukaryota; Viridiplantae; Streptophyta; Magnoliopsida; Solanales; Solanaceae. The record is from RNAcentral.
UUUUAUCAUGACCAGUUCUCCGUUGAAACAAUAUGCAUUACCUCUUCUAUGUGAUAUGGCUCAUGCGUCACGUAAUUCAAGAGAGCAACUUCGUGCUCAUGGUGGACUUGAUGUAUACCUGAGCUUACUUGAAGAUGAACUCUGGUCUGUCACAGCAUUAGAUUCCAUUGCUGUUUGUUUGGCACAUGAUAGAGCUUACUUGAAGAUGAUCUCUGGUCUGUCACAGCAUUAGAUUCCAUUGCUGUUUGUUUGGCACAUGAUAACGAAAGCAGGAAAGUGGAACAAGCUUUGCUCAAAAAGGAUGCUAUACAGAAAAUGGUCAAGUUCUUCGAAUGCUGUCCAGAAC